UCCGUCAUCGCAUACUUGGAC
This 21-nucleotide unclassified non-coding RNA is filed under the name Dictyostelium discoideum. The record is from RNAcentral. Lineage: Eukaryota; Evosea; Eumycetozoa; Dictyosteliales; Dictyosteliaceae.